CCGCGCCGUCGUCUCCAGCAUUCGCGCCGAGGCCGACGUCGCGACCAAUCCCACCCCGGCGACGCUGAGUCGAGGCACACCGGCGUCAAGAUCACGUCCUUCCAGCGCACUCUACAUCACCGCUCUACAUCACCAGAGGGCAAAAAGCUGAUGCAACCUCAUCACAGUUAUAGUCAGCAGCUUGUUUAGGUCCUAUUUGGUUGGCAUUCAGUUCAAGCAAACAGAAGGGAGGUGAUGGUCAGGAGCUUAUCAGGUCAUUGGUUGGCAUUCAGUUCAAGCAAACAGAAAGGAGAGCAUGGUCAGUAGCUUUUUAGGUGGUCCAGUAACUAUAUAUACUGAAUUGUGCAAAAAUCAAGAUUUCUAGAAGAUAAUGUGCUAAGCGCACGACUAUUGGCAUAAUAAGUUUUUUUUGAAAAAGAGUGCUUAUUGACUGUUAUGCUUCAUAUAUUCUUUUCUGUAUUGGCAAGGAAAUAAUAAGCAAGGCGACCUACAA
Setaria italica (foxtail millet) is the source of this 493-nucleotide long non-coding RNA. RefSeq lists it as uncharacterized. The transcript is spliced from 2 exons. NCBI's taxonomy places the organism in Eukaryota, Viridiplantae, Streptophyta, Magnoliopsida, Poales, Poaceae. The record is from RefSeq and is a predicted model, not a curated record.